GGAAUAUUGCACAAUGGGCGCAAGCCUGAUGCAGCCAUGCCGCGUGUAUGAAGAAGGCCUUCGGGUUGUAAAGUACUUUCAGCGGGGAGGAAGGCGACGGGGUUAAUAACCCUGUCGAUUGACGUUACCCGCAGAAGAAGCACCGGCUAACUACGUGCCAGCAGCCGCGGUAAUACGUAGGUGGCAAGCGUUGUCCGGAUUUAUUGGGCGUAAAGCGAGCGCAGGCGGUUUUUUAAGUCUAAUGUGAAAGCCUUCAGCUUAACCGAAGAAGUGCAUUGGAAACUGGAAGACUUGAGUGCAGAAGAGGACAGUGGAACUCCAUGUGUAGCGGUGAAAUGCGUAGAUAUAUGGAAGAACACCAGUGGCGAAGGCGGCUGUCUGGCCUGUAACUGACGCUGAGGCUCGAAAGCAUGGGUAGCGAACA
RNAcentral lists this ribosomal RNA (424 nucleotides) under uncultured bacterium. RNAcentral describes it as "bacterial SSU rRNA". It matches the Rfam family "Bacterial small subunit ribosomal RNA", at positions 358 to 774 of the family's 1533-position model. The record is from RNAcentral.